UGAUCCUGGCUCAGGAUGAACGCUGGCGGCGUGCCUAAUACAUGCAAGUCGAGCGAACAGACGAGGAGCUUGCUCCUCUGACGUUAGCGGCGGACGGGUGAGUAACACGUGGAUAACCUACCUAUAAGACUGGGAUAACUUCGGGAAACCGGAGCUAAUACCGGAUAAUAUAUUGAACCGCAUGGUUCAAUAGUGAAAGACGGUUUUGCUGUCACUUAUAGAUGGAUCCGCGCCGCAUUAGCUAGUUGGUAAGGUAACGGCUUACCAAGGCAACGAUGCGUAGCCGACCUGAGAGGGUGAUCGGCCACACUGGAACUGAGACACGGUCCAGACUCCUACGGGAGGCAGCAGUAGGGAAUCUUCCGCAAUGGGCGAAAGCCUGACGGAGCAACGCCGCGUGAGUGAUGAAGGUCUUCGGAUCGUAAAACUCUGUUAUUAGGGAAGAACAAAUGUGUAAGUAACUAUGCACGUCUUGACGGUACCUAAUCAGAAAGCCACGGCUAACUACGUGCCAGCAGCCGCG
RNAcentral lists this ribosomal RNA (523 nucleotides) under Staphylococcus epidermidis. RNAcentral describes it as "bacterial SSU rRNA". It matches the Rfam family "Bacterial small subunit ribosomal RNA", at positions 14 to 519 of the family's 1533-position model. The record is from RNAcentral. Lineage: Bacteria; Bacillati; Bacillota; Bacilli; Caryophanales; Staphylococcaceae.